UAAUUAACAGGCAUCCUGCGGACUGUAAUUAAAAGGCAGUUUGAAAUUAGUGAUACUUUGAUUCUAGCCAUUUGUAUUUUAUAACUGACAGUGAAUUCGCCUCAAAAAUGUUUAGUCCUCUCAUGUCCUUGCUCCCUGGUUUUUCUUCGGUUAGGCACUUUGGAAUUCAGCUGCAUUCUUCUACUUUCAACAAGUUACCUUCCUACCACUUCCAUUUGGGUGGAGCUGGUGAGCCAGAAGGAAGAAACGCCCAAACAGAUCUUCAGGCUCCACCCUCCCCAAUAGGUUCUCACGGCAGAGAUGCGCCUGGCAGGAGCUUCAACCCCAAGGCCACCCGCCGCCGCGGGUUCCCAAGCCCGGAUAGGGCCCUAAUGGGAAAGCAGCCUGGGUUCGCCUCGGCCCAGCCUCCGCCAAGUCUUCGGGAUCUGACGACCCACAACAGCGCGAGGGCGGAGGAACGGGAGGAAGCAGAGGAAGAGGAGGAAGAGGAAUUGCUUUUGUCGAGGCUCCGCCCGGCGCUGGCCAGGCCUCGUGGAGCCUCCGGGGCUCGGGGUCCCCAGGGGGCGUGGCCUCAGGGGCGGAAGAGGAGCGCGGGCGGGGGCUCAGGCAGCGCGCGGCGCGGGGGAGGGUCGGAGCCUCACCGGGCGGGGCGGGGCGGGGCGGGGCGGGGCGGGGCGGCAGGGCCUCCCCAGAGCGGGCGGCGGAGCUGCACUAGUCCGCGCGCGGUAGGGCAGAGACCCCGUACCCGAGGAGAAGGCAAAUUCUCAAGAAGGUGUCCGGUUCUGCCCAUCCUGCCCCACAGUGCAUCAGUGACGGAGAUAUUUGACCUUCUAGGAGUCUCUGUUGAUAGGUGCUGGUGGCAUCCUUCCUGGAUUUCCAGGAUUGUCCCAAUUUACAUGUUUUGACCAUGUAAGUACUCGUACUUGUCAAAACUUGAAUCCCAGUUGAAGGUUCCAGAAUGUGUGAAUAGAGGAUUAUCGGUUCUGUUGUGUAUAAUGCUACUCUCCCUGUUCUUAAAAAUGGGCCUUUCUGAGGAGUCGAAGGAUACCUGCAGCUGCAAACCUG
This 1065-nucleotide long non-coding RNA is filed under the name Equus asinus (donkey). RNAcentral describes it as "lncRNA (ENSEASG00005025263.1)". Lineage: Eukaryota; Metazoa; Chordata; Mammalia; Perissodactyla; Equidae. The record is from RNAcentral.